This 253-nucleotide ribosomal RNA is filed under the name uncultured bacterium. RNAcentral describes it as "partial 16S ribosomal RNA". It matches the Rfam family "Bacterial small subunit ribosomal RNA", at positions 524 to 776 of the family's 1533-position model. The record is from RNAcentral.
UACGUAGGGGGCAAGCGUUGUCCGGAAUCAUUGGGCGUAAAGAGCGUGUAGGCGGCUCGAUAAGUCUGCUGUGAAAGUCCAGGGCUCAACCCUGGAAGGCCGGUGGAAACUGUCGGGCUAGAGUGCGGCAGAGGAGACUGGAAUUCCUGGUGUAGCAAUGAAAUGCGUAGAUAUCAGGAGGAACACCGAUGGCGAAGGCAGGUCUCUGGGCUGACACUGACGCUCAUGCACGAAAGCGUGGGGAGCAAACAGG